Molecule: long non-coding RNA, 39947 nt
Filed under: Lotus japonicus
Lineage: Eukaryota; Viridiplantae; Streptophyta; Magnoliopsida; Fabales; Fabaceae
Description: long non-coding RNA (LJAP_LNC001824)
Source: RNAcentral
ACCAUUUGAUCAUUAUUGAGUUUUAAAUCAAUUUAUUUCAUUUUCAUGGCAAACAUUUUGACCCUACAUUCAUCAUCAAGUUUCUCUCUACUCAUUCAGUGGAUUUGGCUGAUUCAAGGCUUUAAUUAAACCUUCCCACUCCCUCUAUCUGACCCAACAAGUUUCACAUUCAGAUCAUCUCCCAAUCUCUCUAACCAAUCUCACUAAGUUGCCUACUUGAUCUUCAAAUUUCAAGUUUUGGAGUUUUGAACUUUUUCAAAGGUAAGUACCAUUUAUACUAAUCACUUGGACUUGAAACUUUUACUGUACGAUCAUGAUGCUAUAAGAUAAUUUCUGGCAAAGUUUGAGAAUUUUUGGAGCACUAGAUUAAUUACUACAAGUUUUGCAUGAUAACUGGACUUUUAAUUGGUUAGAAAGUAUGGAAUAUGUUAUAAAAUUUUCUAGAGCCUGAUUUAGGUCAUGAUAAUUACAUAGAGCUUACGUAUAGGUCUAAUAUCAUCCCUGGAAGUUUUAUAAAUUAUUUCACCAAUUUUAGUAAUUUAUGUGAUUUUUAGUUAAUUAAAUAAGUAAUAUAUGUUUUAAAGUGUUUAAAAAUAGAGUAAUAUUGUAAAAUAAAUUUUCCAGUGAUCAAGUAUGUUCAUAUAGUUUAUGUAGGUGUUCCUAAAGUUUCCAGAGACUUAACUCACUGAUUUAGUAAUUUUAAGUAUUUUUAGUAUAAUAAUAGACUUUUUAGGACUAUUUAAUGGUUUAGAAAUAGUUUAAUAGUUCCAUAAAAUCAAUGAAAAUUUUCCAGAGUCACAAAAGAGUUUAUAAACAAGUUAGAGCUCUGAAAAUCAUUUAUUGAUAUUUUUCUUGUAAAUUAGCUAUUUUUAGGUGUUUUUCUUUAAAAUGGUUAAUUAAGUUUUUACAUUUAAAAUUGGUAAUACGUUUUAAAAAUAUUUCCAGAGGUUAGAAAAUAGUUUUUAUAUUAUAACUGAACUUAGGAGCAUAAAUAUUAAUAAAUUUGAACUUCAUAACGUUUUUAUUGUUUUAAUAGCUAUUUUAAGUAAUUUUGUAUAAAUUGGUUAAUUUAGUAAUUAGUUAAAAAUGGUUAGUUGGGUUAAUAAUUUUUCCAGAUAGUAGAAAUUUUUUUUGAUGAUGUAAUCUGACUUAGAAAAAUUUAAUUUGUCAUUUUUAACAUUUUUAGCAUUUUUAUAUGUUUUUAAGUAAUUAUUUGCUAUUUAAUUUGUUAAAAAGGACAAAACGGUAAUUUCACAUGUCUUAAGGGUAUUUCUGGAAUUUUGGGCAAACUUAAGGACUCCAGAUUAAAACCUAUAAUUAAGUACUAAAAUAAAUAUUACCUUUAUUAAUUAAUUUAAGUUUUAAAAGGAUCAUUAUUUAAUAUUAUGCAAUGCCGUUUGACGAUUGAUCCGUUUCCGAUUAUUCACGCGGUUAAAGGUUAGGGUAACUCCGUCAUUUACUUUCAGAUAGCAUGACUUUAUUCAUUAUCUGUUCCACCUAUUAUUGAUGGAUUGAUGGAGUAUUAUUAUCUUGGUUAUCUUAUUGAUUAUGAUGAACUGAGGUUCACUUUUAUCGUUGAUGAAUUGGAACUUUUAUUGGUUAUGUUGAAUUGAGGUCACUCUUAUUAUUGUGUGGCUAACCAUAUCAUUUCAUUAGGAGUGGCGGGUUAGUGGUCUCGACCACGCGCCGUCCCGUCCUACGGGGCGUUACACUUCAAGCGGCGGUUUCUGUUUUCGUUCAGUUACUGUCCCACCUUUCGAGGUGCAAUUGUUAAUGUUAUUAUUAUUAUCAAGCGGCAGCCGGAGACUGUCCCACAUGUGCAAAUUUUUAAGUGGCCCCAACGGUUAUCGUUCCGUUGUUACCCAUCGGGGUAUUAUUAUUAUUAUUGAUCGAUCCAUUUUGUAGAGAGCAUAUAGACAUUUAGGAAGACUAACCCUUAUUCGCUAUAUGCUGCUUCUUUAUUUAACUUGCAAUCUGAUUUAUGUUUAAUGCAUGAGUUAACCCUUUCAUUGUUGCUUGUCUUGUUGUUUUUGGCGUUCGUCUGCCAUUAGGUGCGGAUGCGGAUGAACAGAAGUGAUGACUUGGUUUUCUGUUAUGGCGGAUUUGAAUAAAGGACUUUAUAUUUUAUUUUCUUGUUGUUGUGUAAUAAUUAUAACUUAUUCGGGAUACUGGGUAUGUAAUAUUAUUAUUGUAUCGUGUUAAGUUUCUCGCGAGGUUUUCGAACUUAUAACUGUUCGUUUUAAAAAAAAAAAAUUCCGUGGUUCCGUGAACCUUGGUCAAUCGUUAGGUUACCUAAUGCGACGUCCCAGUUACCUUAAUUGGGGCGUUACACUUUGCAUUCAUGCACACAUUUUGAGGUUAAUACACGGCGUGAUACCGGACCUCGGUGGAUUCCAAAAUGGUCAUAAGACCCGGAUUUCCAUAUUUAGGACACUACGGUGGUCCUUAGUAGCAGAUGGAAUGGCAGACCUACGGGUUCACUGCUGAUCUGACUACUUUUGUGUGGUGUAAGUUACGCCCGAGCGGAAUGGUCCCACUAUGGCCGGUGUUAGGGCUGACUCGAUGGUGUCCGUCCUUCUUCCGGAAUGCAUCUUGUCAACCAGCAUUGCAUUUCAUGCAACAUUCAUACUGACUUAGUUGCUGAGUGUGAUUGGUACUUGUUAAUCCUAUUUGAUGCAUGCUAAUUGUUAUUAUCGUCUUUUAUAUUCAUUGUGGAAUAUGCAACCCUAGGAUGUUAUCCCUAAACUUAUAAGCCGGAGAGGCUAAAUAAUUAUUAUCCUAUAUAUCUGGUUUUAAUAUUUAUAUAAUUCUUCGGAGUUGACCCUCGCGUCUUCUGUGUGUGUUUGGGCGGACUACGCCAUUGUCCGUUGAGUAUGGCGGACCGGUAUGAGACGGUCGUCCCUUCGGGGGGGACCAGGUUUGAUAUGUUGGACCAAGACACCCCGGGCUCAUGGGUGGUCGACCCCGCCGGCCACCGAGCUAUCUAUUCGGGGCGAAUAAUGGAGGAUCGCAUUGACCGGAUGCCAAGUCUGACGCACGGAGUUUGGAGGCGCUACACGGUCAGCUUCAACUUGCCACCGGGUGUACACUGCGGACCUGGACUGGGAGUACCACCACCACCGUCGCCUUCGGACGACGAGGACCCCUCGGAGGAGGUGCCUGUGGGAGGGACUUAUUCAGGCACUAGUUCACCCACUGUCGCGGCUGCUAUUGACUUGGGAUCGGGUGCAGAACCCGUGCGACCAGCUGUGGAGACCGAUGCAGUCAUCGACAUAGUCGUCUUGGAUUCAGAUUCAGACGACGAUCUUGGGGAUGCAUAGUUGGGAAUGCGGUGAUGUGCUCCUCUAGUUGGUAUUAGUCUAGGAGUAGCGUCUUGGCUCUGAUGUUCAGUCUUUCGUUUUGGGCAGGGUAGGUCCCCGACCUUUAGCUUUUCUUGUGGUUCUCUUUACGGGUAUUACAGAGGGUUGGUCGGUUUAGGAGGUCUUUGUUGGCUGACCUACUGUUGUAGAGAGGACUGUAUUUGGAACUCUUGUCCUUUUGUUCCGGUUUGUACGUAUUUGCCACGGGCACUACUUUCGGUCAGUUACCCGUCACUAGAGGUUACUCGUGACGUGGUUUUGUUACUUACAGCGGGGGCUGUAAUUAUCUAUCGUAUAGUAGUUCUGCUAUCUUUUGUUGUUGAGUUUCAUUUCUUUCAGUUUCUAAUUCCUUUACCAAAAAAAAAAAUUCACGUUUUUCCGCAUUAAGUAUUUCUUUUGGUUACGAAAGUGACGCCACCGAAAUCGGGGUGUUACACGGUAAUUGUGGCCUCUCGGGAGAAUUGAUGACUGCAUCAAAGAUGCACUUGUUAUUGCUAGUACUAGUACAUCUGACAAUUCUGAAUUGAUUAGUUUCCAUAGCCCUGGACUGUGGAAAAAUGGAGUAUCCCGAACCUACACCGAGAUAUUGACGACGAUUCUCAAAUAUCGCAGAACAGAAUGGGAUACGAUGAGAUAGAAUGCAAUAGAAAAAAAGACAGGGGGAACAGGUUACCUGCUCUUAACGGUCAAAGCGAACCCUUUCAUUCCGAAUUCUUUUACUCGGAAUGAAUCAAAUCUCCCCAAGUAGGAUUUGAACCUACGACCAAUCGGUUAACAGCCGACCGCUCUACCACUGAGCUACUGAGGAACAAUGGGAAAAUCUAUCUCAUAGAGUUCAAUUCCCGUUCUUAACCCAUGACCAAUAUGAGCUCGAAGUUUUCUUCGUAACUUGUCGAAUGUAAGACCCACUUUUAAUCAAUGUAUUAUGUCCUUUUUAUUAUGAAAAUAUUUGAAUUAUUAAUUAUUCUCAUUUAGGAUUUUAUUCCAUUUUAUUAAGAUUAUUCAAAAGUUAAUAGAUUUAUUUUCUAUUAGCUAAGUUUAUUUCAUUUAAAAUGGAAAUAUUCUUAUUUCCAUAUUCACAAUGAAAAUACUCUCAUUUAUAUUUUUCCACAUAUUUGGAAAGUUAAUUAUGUUAGUGGAAUUUUCCUAACAUUUUCCAAUUAAUAGUUAAAUCGUUAUUAUAUUCAGAAAUUGGGAAAUAUUAUUGUGAAGAUCAAUUUGUGAAAGUUAUGGUCAUUUUAGGAUCAUCAUCAUUGAUUAUACUUAUGAUAAUUCUCUGGCAAUUUAUUUUUGGGUUUUGGAUUUUAAAUUGAUUAUUUCAAUAUUUACCGAUUUUUCAGUUUAUCGGUAAAAGAAAGGAAAAUAUUAUCACGUUAAAUAUUUUUGAGAAAUCAUUUUUAAAACCUAACCAUAAUUACCUAUAUUAUUGUUAGGAUUUUUCUAGGGUAUUUUGGUUGAUUUAUGAUUUUUGGUUAAUUUUUAAUGAUUUUACCUUUGGUAAAUAGUUUAAAAUUCGAAAUAAAUGGUAAAUAAUAUUUAUUAAUUUUGGAAAAUUAUUCUUUAACCUUUAAUCAUCAUUUAUGAGUGCUUGGGACCCUUAUUGACUCAGAUCACACGAAAUUUGGCACCUUAUGAUCAUUAGGAAAUUUUUAAUCAAAUUAUUCCUUUUUAAUGGCCAACACAUAACCCUACCUUCAUCAUCACCUUAUGCAGCACUCACUUAGUGUUUUUGGCUCAUUCCAAGCCUUAAUUAAUCCUCUCCAUGCCCUCUUUCUGAACUAACAAUCCUCAUGCUCAGAUUUCCCUCCUAUCUCUCUAUAUAAUCUCUCAAAGUCACCUAGAUGAUCACAACAUAGAAAGAUCACCUAAAACACAAAUUUAUUUUUCUAGCCUUCAAAUUCAAAAUUGGGCUUCGAUGUUGUGUUCAUAAUCAUCCUAGGAGUCUCCCACAAAAAUUUCAGCUCAAUUGGAGGUCCCUAACACAAAAUCUGCUCAAAACAUCAAACUUGAUCUUCAAAUUUCAAGUUUUGGAGUUUUGAACUUUUUCAAAGUAAGUACCAUUUAUACUAAUCACUUGGACUUUAAACUUUUACUGUAUGAUCAUGAUGCUGUAAGAUAAUGUCUGGCAAAGUUUGAGAAUUUUUGGAGCACUAUAUUAAUUACUACAAUUUUUGCAUGAUAACUGGUCUUUUAAUUGGUUAGAAAAUAUGGAAUAUGUUAUAAAAUUUGUUAGAGCCUGAUUUAGGUCAUGAUAAUUACAUAGAGCUUCAGUAUAGGUCUAAUAUCAUCCCUGGAAGUUUUAUAAAUUAUUUCACCAAUUUUAGUAAUUUAUGUGAUUUUUAGUUAAUUAAAUAAGUAAUAUAUGUUUUAAAAUGUUUAAAAAUAGAAUAAUAUUGUAAAAUAAAUUUUCCAGUGAUAAAGUAUGUUCAUAUAGUUUAUGUAGGUGCUUUUAAAUUUUCCAGAGACUUAACUCACGGAUUUAGUAAUUUUACGUAUUUUUAGUAUAAUAAUAGACUUUUUAGGAUUAUUUAAUGGUUUUAAAAUACUUUAAUAGUUUCAGAAAAUUCAUGAAAUUUUCCCAGUGUCACAAAUGAGUUUAUAAACAUUUUAGAACACUGAAAAUCACUUAUUGGUAUUUUUCUCAUAAAUUAGCAAUUUUUAUGAAGUUAACUUUAAAAUUGGUUAAUUUAGUAAAUAGUUUAAAUUAGUUAAUUGGCUUAGAAAUUUUCCAGUAAGUAAAAAUAACUUUUAUGAUAUAAAUUGACUUAAGAUGAUGCAAAUAAUUAAUUGUAGCAUUUAUAGAAUUUUUAUUGUUUUAUUAGCCUUUUUAAGCAAUUAUCUAUGAAGAUUGGUUAUUUUAUAUAUAAUUAAAAAUGGUUACAUAGCUUUAAUAAUUUUCCAGCAAGUUAGUUUUAUGGAGAAUAUUUUAUAAGUCCAUAAAUGAUUUUAGAACUUUAGUUUAUUAUAUCUCUCAAUUUAUUGGAUUAUCAACAAUUUAAUUGGUUUCUUAAGUAUUUUCCUAAAAUGUGGUUUUUGGGUUAAAGUUAUAGGAAUCUUCCAUAAACAAUAUUUGACUUUAUAAAUUUAUAUGGUAUAAAAGACUUAUGUUUCAAUUAAAAGAAUUUAAUAUUUAUUGUAUUGAUUUACUUAGUCAAUUGGAUAUUAUCAAGUAUUAAGUUGAUUAAUGAGUGUUUUAAUCAAAAGAAUUAUGUUAUAAAAUUGGCUUUGUUAUGUAAGAUAAAGUUUAUUAAUACUUGACAAGUUUUAUUCACUUAUGUUUAGUUGGUUUAGAAUUUAUUUAAUUAUGAAAAGUAUUUUAUAAUGAUUAUAACUUUAGCUUUCUAGAAAACUGUUUUUGUCAACUAGAAGUAUUGAGGGUAAAUAUUUGAUCAAAUUGAUUUAUUUAUAUUAGAGUUAAGCAAACUAAUUGAUUUUUAUAACCAAUGGUUUAAUUAAACUAUGAUUUAUAUUAUGAUAUUAAUACCUUAAGUUUAACUUUAUAAUUAGAGUUUAAGCUCCAUUAAUCAGUUAUUUAGUGAUUAAAUGAUUAUGGGUAAAUCAAGUAAUUUUAUAAGGUUUAUUAAAGUUUAUUAAUACUUGAAUAAAGCUUAGUUUUGAUUAUUGGGAAUUAAUCAAUGGAAUUUAAGAUUAAAUUCGUACUUAAUUUUAUUGGUUUAAAAUGAACUUGGAGAUUCUGUAAUUUAAUUGAAAUAAUAGAAGUAAUGUGAUCAUAAUCAUAUAUUUAUUUUAUAUGACAUUCCAGAACUUUAAACUUUCAUAUUUAUUAGUUUAAAAGGUUUUAAUUGAAUUGUUAAGUUUUCUAGCUUUAUAUUAAAUUGAGAAAAAUAUUUAUAAUGCUCAAUUAUUCAUUUAAAAAUUAUUUCAGCUAUAAAAAAAAAAUUGAUGAUUUAUUUAAUGAUCAGACUUGGGGAAUUUAAUUUAUCAAUUUUAGUACUUAAAUCAUUUUUAUAAGUUUUUAUGAAUUUAUUAACUAUUUAAUUGAUAAAAAGGGUAAAACGGUAACUUCACAUAUCUUAAGGUUAUUUUUGUAAUUUUGAUAAACUUAAGGACUUCUGAAGAAUCACCUAUAAAUACAAGGACUUAAGUGAAUAGUAUCUUUAUUAUUUACUUAAAAAUUAAAAAGAGUUAUUAUUUAAUAUUAUGCAGCGUUGAUUGGCGGUUCAGUUCGAUACCUCUCGUGGUAAAAGGUUAGGGUAACUUCGUCAUUUACAUUCAGAUAGCAUGUUUUAAUUAUUACAUUUAGUACUGUUUAUCAGUUAUCUGAUCAAUAUAUAUUAUUGAUGAAAUAUUGUUGUCAUGGACAUCAUUACUUCUAUGCUAGCAUGUCAUACUGUCGAGUAUGUUCUGCUGAUGAUUUCGAUAUCUUAUUGAUUAUGACGAACUGAGGUUCACUUUUAUCGUUGAUGAAUUGGAACUUUUAUUGAUUAUGUUGAAUUGAGGUCACUCUUAUUAUUGUGUGGCUAACCAUAUCAUUUCAUUAGGAGUGGCGGGUUAGUGGUCUCGACCACGCGCCGUCCCGUCCUACGGGGCGUUACACUUCAAGCGGCGGUUUCUGUUUUCGUUCAGUUACUGUCCCACCUUUCGAGGUGCAAUUGUUAAUGUUAUUACUGUUAUCAAGCGGCGGUUUCUGUUUUCGUUCAGUUACUGUCCCACCUAUCGAGGUGCAAUGUGGUAUUUGUUAUCAAGCGACGGUUACUGUUUUCGUUCAGUAACUGUCCCACAUCUCGAUGUGCAAUUAUUAUUGAUUAUUAAGCGGCAGCCGGAGACUGUCCCACAUGUGCAGUAUUUAAGUGGCCCCAACGGUUGUCGUUCCGUUGUCACCUAUUGAGGUGUUAUUGAUCGAUCCAUUUUAUAGAGAGCAUAUAGACAUUUUAGGAAAGCUAACCCUUCUUUGCUAUAUGCUGUCUGUUUAUUUAUUGCAAAUCUGAUUUAUGUAUUAUGCACAAGUUAACCCUAUCUUCUGUUGUUUUUUUGUUUUGGUUUUUGGGCGUUUGUCCGCCCUCAGGUCAUCAGAGUGCGUAGCGGAAGCAUAAUGAAUCUUUCAGUAAUGGAUUAAAGUCAGAGAAGAUUGUCUUCUCAUAUUUUCUGUAAUAAAAGUCACGUUCGCGAUCGAUCCUAGAGUUGACGUUCGUACAAAUUUUUGUACUACUAUUAUUACUCGGGUUAAUGGGUAUUAUAUUCUAUCGUUAUACUCACGUUAAUUCCAUCGCGUUUAAAUCGAUAAAUGUUUUAUUGAACUAAUAUCUGUUUUAUUCGAUAGACUGUAUCCAUUUACCAAACAAGUAAGACCCGUGAACUGUUGUCUAAGUAAGAAGGACUUUUUACAAGGCUAGCCGGUCCAGCUUACUUGGAUACCUUCCAGUUUUUUACUUGAUAAUAAAUGGACAUUGUUCUAAGUGUUUUAAGCAGCAUCUUUUAAUUCGAAACAAAAUUCCCUGUAGUCUCGUUAGUACAAGUUACCUCCGCGUUUAUUCGGUUACUAAUGUUAACAUCUCAGUUCCUCCUGAAUUGGGUCGUUACAUCGAACUUCUUCGCAGUGGCUCCGUUCCAUGCCUUAUUUCAUAGCGAACCUCAAAGUGGCCCUAUUUCAUUAUAUUACAUCCAUAUACUAAUUUCAUUCAUUGAAUAUUCCUCUAUCUUUGGUGUCAUUGAGAUAAAAGAGAUGUCGUUUCUAGUCUUUCUAUUUCUAUAUAUAUAUAGAAAUAGAAAGAAAAAAUUGAAAAAUUAUCAUAUAAUAAUCCAAAAAUUGCAAUAAUAAUUCAGAAAUUGCAAUAGAAAAGAAAAAAGAGGUUUGCGAUGAUUUUUCAAUCUUUUAUUCUGGAUAAUCUAGUAUCCUUAUGCCUCAAGAUAAUUAAUUCGGUCAUUGUGGUCGGACUCUAUUAUGGAUUUAUGACCACAUUCUCCACAGGGCCCUCUUAUCUAUUCCUUCUUUGAGCUCACGUUAUGGAAGAAGGGACCGAGAAGAAAAUAUCAGCAACAACUGGGUUUAUUACGGGAUAGCUCAUGAUGUUCAUAACGAUCUAUUAUGCGCCUUUGCAUAUAGCAUUAGAUAGACCUUAUACAAUAACUGUCAUAACUCUACCGUAUCUUUUUAUUAUAUUUCCUCGGCAAUAAUCAAAAAAACUUUUUGAAUUAUGUAUACAAGAAUCAAAAUUCAAUACGUCAUUUUAGUAUUCAAAUAAUAUUCUUUCAGAAUCUUUUUUUUUUUCAGUUAUUAAACCCCUUUUUUUUACCAAGUUCAAUCUUAAUGAGAUUAGCGAACAUUUAUAUCUUUCAAUCAAACAAUAAAGUCUUAUUUUUAACAAGUAGUUUUGUCAUAUAAAAAAAGAAUAAAAAAUUAUUAAAAAUAAUAAUACAAAAAAUAAGAUAUACGAAGAAAUUCGCCCACUUCCUACAUAUUUAAAAGCCUCCCUAUAAGAAAACUUGUAAUACCAACUGCAUUUGGAAUUCCAUCAAUUACUUGUCUAUCAAAAAAAGAAUUUAGUUUCGCUAAUUUUCUUACAGAGGCAAUAAGAGAUAUUUCAUAAAAUCCAUCCAUAUAGCCGCGAUUAUAUGACCAAUCAUAUAUGCCAUUUAUUAUUGUAUUGUAUCAGCUAAAAUUUUUUUAGGAAGAUUCUUUUCAAAUAAAUUUAAUAAAUUCAAAUUUUGUAAAGUCGAAUAAACUGGUUUAUAGAAAAAAGACGCUAUAAAAAUUCCGAAAAAAGCUAUACUCACCGAAAAAGUUGCAUUUGUAAAAAAUUCAUACCAAUCUACAGACUUGUUUGAAUUUUGGUGCAAAAGGUCUAUUGACGGACUUAACAAUUUGGAUAAUAUAUCUAAAUCUAUUCCUUCUUGGUUAAAGGAAAUUCCUAUGGCUCCGACGAAGUAAGUAAAUAGUACUAAGACAAGCAUAGAAAAUAACAUAGUAUUGUCAGAUUCAUGAGGAUAAAAACAAGGAAACUUUUUAGGACCAAAAUAGGUACUAUGAAUGAAAAGACGUGUUAUGCUUUUCACAUUUCGAUUAAUUUUAGAUAAAUAUGCCCUUUUGCGAAACAAUGAAGUCCUUUCAUUAUUAGUCAUUGUUAAUAAAGAUAAUAAAUGAAUUUUUUUUUUAAUUUUUUUUUUCCUUCUUUACCCCAUAAAGAUAUUGAAUAGAAUGAACUAUUUUUCUUUCCAUUGAAAUUUUGAAAAUGAACAUUGAAAUAUCCUUCAAAAACAAGUAAAUAGAUCCGAAACAUAUAAAAUGCGGUUAAUCCUGCUGUUGAACAAGCUAUUAUUGCAAAAAUUGGUGAGUAUAACCAACUAUCAUUAAGAAUCUCAUCCUUGGACCAAAAACAGGCGAAAGGCGGAAUACCACAAAGAGAAAGCGUACCUAUUAAAAAGGCAGUUUUUGUAAUUGGCACAUGUUUUGUUAAACCACCCAUAAGAAGCAUAUUUUGACUUUUAUUUGGAGAAUACCCAACAACAGCUUCCAUUGAAUGAAUAAUGGAUCCGGACCGUAAAAACAACAAUGCUUUUGAAUAAGCAUGAGUAAUCAAAUGAAAUAACGCAAUUCGAUAAGAGCUCAUACCUAAAGCUAACAUCAUAUAACCCAAUUGAGACAUGGUAGAAUAGGCCAAAUUUUUCUUAAUAUCUUUUUGAGCAAUUGCUAAAGUGGCCCCUAAUACUACUGUUAUUAUACCUAUGAAAGCUAUUCCGUUCAUUAUAGAAGGUAUGGCUAUGAAAAAGGGAAGAAGUCUAGCUACAAGGAAAAUUCCUGCUGCUACCAUGGUGGCAGCAUGUAUAAGAGCAGAAAUAGGGGUGGGACCUUCCAUAGCAUCUGGUAACCAUACAUGAAGGGGGAAUUGGGCAGAUUUUGCAACCGAGCCACAAAAUAACAAGAGGGCACACAAAGUAAUAAAAAAAAUAUUAACCUCAUUUUGAUCAAUCAAGUUGUUGAUUAUUUGGAAUAAAUCCCGAAAUUCCAAACUACCUGUUAUCCAAUAAAGACCCAAAAUUCCUAAUAAUAAACCAAAAUCGCCUACACGAUUAGUUACAAACGCUUUUUGACAAGCAUUUGCCGCAAUACGACGUGUGAACCAAAAACCUAUUAAUAGAUAAGAACACAUUCCAACCAAUUCCCAAAAAAUGUAAACUUGUAUCAAAUUCGAACUAGUAACCAAUCCUAACAUUGAAGUACUUAAAAAACUCAAAUAAGCAAAAAAUCUCAAAUACCGUUGAUCAUGAGACAUAUAAUUAUCACUAUAAAUAAGAACCAGAAUGCCAACAGUAGUAAUUAAUAUUGACAUAAUAGAGGUAAGUGAAUCGAUCAAGUAACCAAACUCUAAAGAAAGAUCGGUAUUUGGACUGGGCGAGCUCCUAGAGGGGCGACGCCCAGGGUUCAGCCCGCCCAAGGGCGAAAGCCUGGCCUUAAGUUGGGCCUCAACUUCAGAGGCCCAAUGGUGUAACACCCCGAUUUCGGUGGCGUCACUUUAGUAACCAAAAAUAAACUUAAAGCGGAAAAACGUGAAUAUUUUUUUUUCGAUAAUAAUAUAGACAAGACUGAAUUAAAUAAAACCCAACAGUAACGAUAAACCGAACUAAUGUACAAUAUAUAUAACAGCCCCCGCUGUAGUAGCAACCUCGUCACGAGUAACCUCCAGUGACGGAAAGGAGAAAAGUGUAGCGCCCGUAGGCAAUAUAUACAAACCAAAUAUAAAGGUGAAGUGUCCGCAACACCAUCCCUCAAAACUGAGAAUAAGCUGGCCCAUCGGCCUGAAAACAAGACCUCCUAAGUCCAAGCAACUCUCUGUGAUUCCCGUAAAGAAACCACACAAAAAGCUAUAGGUGGGAAACUACCCUUUCCCAAAUGAAGCAAUGACUUUCAGAGCUAAGACUCUACUCCUACACUAAUCCUAACUCGAGGAGCUCACACUAACACUCAAAAACUAUGUGUCAGCAUGAUCGUCGUCUGAAUCAGAAUCCAGAACGACUAAGUCUACAAACACUACCCUGCCUCCCCUCACAACCGCAAUGCGCUCCGGUGCUGGACUAACGGGCUUUGGGCCCGAACCCUGAUCAUCAAUGAUCGCAACAGCAGGGGUGCUGGACUCUGAUGAAUGCACUCCCACAGGCUCCUCCUCGGAGGGGUCCUCCUCAUCCGAAGACGAAGGUGGCGGUGGUGCUCCUCCUGCUCCGGGUCCGCAGUGCACUCCUGGCGGCAGGUUGAAACUGACAGAGCAUCUCCUCAUCACUCAUGACGUCAAGUGUCCCAGCGUAUCGAAGUGAUCCUCCAUGAUCUUCCCCGAGUACGUCGCGCGAUGGCUAGCGGGGUCUACCACCCACGCGCCAGGGACAUCCCGGUCUAUCAUCUCAUAGUCGAUCCCCCCCGAAGGGUGGACCAUCGUGAACCACUCCGCCAAAGACAUCUGACAAAGGCGUAGUCCGCCAAAACACACACAGAAGACGCGAGGGUCAACUCCAAAGAACUAUGUAAAUAAUAAACCCAAUAGGUACAGAUAAUAGAAUAGCCGCUUAGGCUUAUAGCUAAAGAUAUCAUUCCUAGGGUUGCAUAUUCCACAAUGAAUACAAACACAAUAAUAACAGAUAGCAUGUUCCAAAUAGGAUUAACAAUUACCAACCACACUCAACAACUAAAUUAGUAUGUAUGUUGCAUGAUAUGCAAAUGACGGUUAACCCAGUUAACCAAUGCAUUUCGGAAAGGGAUGGACACCAAACGGAUCAGCCCUAACACCAGCCACGGUGGGACCCUUUCGGCCCGUGUGCCUCUUACUCCAACAACAACGGUAGUCUGAUCAGCCGUAACCCGUAGGUCUGCCAUUUCGGUCUGCUACAAGAGUCGUCUACAAACGCUCUUACACGGCAUUCCGGGUCUUAUGACCAUUUUGGAAACCGACGAGGUCCAGAGUACGUCCUGUGUUAAUACCUCAUUAAUGUUGCAUGAAUGCAGGAUGAUUAGUCAAACAACGUCUCCGAAUCUCACUCGACACGUCGCCACGUGUUUCUAGGCAAAUUAAAGUCUCUAAAAGCUUACCCUAAGGUAAAAGUCGAUUCUGCGACAAAAGACACUUCCUCACAACAACACAUAACUCACGAUGAUCUCCAAAUCAUCCGACUCAUCUCAAUCCGAUGGUCACAACUGCUCAACGAGCACAGAGUAUCACACUCUCGGAAACUAACGGUUUCCCGGACUUAUCCCAGGAUAGCCCAACAACACAGCUGCUCCAACAGCACAAGAGUAUCAACAUACUCAAAACUUCUCAACUUUCUCAACACUUGGAUCCGACGACACUUCUCGUUUUCCAAAACUAAGAUUUGCAUCCUAAGCUUCCUUUCGAGUUUAUUAUCAUUAAUUGACGGUUUGAAGGUUGUUUAAUGUCUUAUGAGUUUUCUUUGCAAAAUAAUAUCAUUUUAGUCUUAUCAUAACAUCUGAUAAGUUCUCGGGAUCUCCUAAUCCCCAACUGACUCCAGAGAAUGUCUCGAUCCAUAAAACACCAUAACAAGGCCCGAAUCUCAUUCGUCCUAUCAAACUUUCUCAAAACUCUCAAAAUAAAAUCGGCAUGACCUGCCCGCUAUUCUCACAACUCAGAAUCUCAGAUUUCAUUGCAAAGCAUAUUUAAAUCAGCACAAUCAACAAGCAUGUCAUAUCUCAACACAUUCUAAAAAUAAUCACAUCGCACUUAGCAUAUAAAGCAUGCACCACACAUCCUAAAUUACCCAAUUAGCAAUUAGGAUGUAAUUCACUCUCAAAAGCAUUCAGUAGAUGAAUCAUCUACAUUGUCAGUCGAAGCCUCAGAAAACAUUUUUCCAAUCAAACACAAACAAGUGCAUAAACAGUAAACAAUGUCGAAAGCAUCGACCCUAAGCAUUAUCUAGAGAUUCAGUGAGAAGCCCUCACCUGUAGGUUCUCCAGAGUGAUCUUCUAACGCUUCCUCGCAAUCAAAGCCUUGCUCCUCUGGAUAUUCCUCAAAAGCACCUUUUAAAGUAAAACCAUAGAAUACUAUCAGAAUCUAUCUGAAACUAUGCUAUCGAUACUUACUAAGGUUACACGAAGUAGUAUAUACUCCGAGGUACGAUAAUCUAGCGCGAAAGGACAAGUUUUCGGAAAAAGGAAAUUUUCCUCCUCCCCCCCUAAAGUGCUCGGCCACUUUUGGUAAUUGUGGGACUCGAUUUUUCUUCGAUCAAACUUGGUUCCUAUGCUAUCAUAAGCCGUAACUAAGGGUAUUCUAAACUCGGAAAAAUUAUCGGAUCAAAAACUGUCGCAGGGGUAUUUUGGUCAUGAUUUUUAACUUAGAAUUUCAAAACUGAAAUCCCAAAAAGCAAAUUUGACAGGGGCGUCACCAACGACGUUUAUGACAACUAAUCCUACUAGCACUAAGCUAAGGCGAUAGUUUUCAGUCCAAAGGACGAAGCUUUACCCCAAAAAUGGGUAUUUUCACCAAAAUUGAAACUCGGCGAUAGUUUUUCGAGAUUCGGCGCUGUAUGAUUAGAUAAACAUACUCAGAAAAAUGUAGGGAAGAUGUUUAGAAUCAAAAAUGAGAUUAUCAGGAUAGUUUUGCAAAAACCUCAAAACUAUGAGCACAAAAAGACAUAGGAAAAAGCUAUGGAAAAAGCGAUCAGAGGUAAGAAUUAGCGACUAUACCUCGACACCUUGAAGCAGCAACUAAUUAAUCGAUGAUCAAGCAAGAAAUGAAGAAAAGCUCUUCUUCCUUCCUCUUCAAUGGAGCUCGCGGGUUUGGGAGAGAAAAUGGUGAAGUUUUGCCAUUUUUUCUCCUUUACUUGCUAUAUAUAGAAGUUGACAAAACGCGGUAAAAUGAAAGUUUCGCAAAUCUGAUUUUUCCGGCUUCAUUCACCAUGAAUUCUAAGAUAGGUUUUGGCGAAAGAAUUCCAAAACUAAAAUGAGGUCUCCUUGUAUUUUAAGUAACUAAUGCAAAGUCGGUGUAAAACUAUUUUACCCGAUAAGUUGCUUUUUGCAUCGAAUGUCGGAAUGGAAAACUUCCUUCUGAAGAAAGAUUGAAAUCAUCAAGAGAAAUGGGUGUACGCGUGUGGAAUCUUCAUUUGAAGCUCUGAAUAGAAAAAGUCUUCAUCGUCGGGUGAAUUUAGGGUUUUGAAAUACCAGGGUUUCGGUUUCGGCAAACUUCCGAUGAUUGGAAUCGGACGUUCGUAGAUCCUAGAGUUCCGCCACGAAACGAUUGUGAUAUAUGGAAAAAGAGAAGUUCUAACAUUUCUCUGAAGAUUUUUGGAAUUAACUUCCAUCGUGACUUUAAGUGAAAACUAGCUAUAUACUAGGGUUUCUGACCUAGGUUUAAGCGUAUAACGGUCGUGCUAUAACUUUUAUCGACUUCGUUACGAUCCUCAGACUUUUCCUGAACUUUCUCCUUCAUACAUUUAUUUCAUUAAAUAAACUCUUGUUCAGGUUUUCCCUUCACGAUACAUCAACCCUAAUCGUGAAUAAGAAUUUUAUUCACUUAGAUAAAACUAAAAACUUGGGUCUUACAAAUGGGACCAAUAGGUGUAAGAUCAAGUUUUGAUCUAGUAGUACAACUCUAUGUUUUGAUGAUUACAAGCUAACCCUUUGAUAUGAACAAUUAUGGUACUCUAACGUGUUUUUCUGAGUGUGCUAUUUACAGGCUCUGACCUUGAUUUAGUCUCACACAAAUCAGAAGCACUGUGCAUAAGGAGUGACCCAAGCAACGCUUUCGCAUUCUCCAUGUUCAUUCUGAACAGUGGAAAAGCUUCAGAAGAUCUGAAGUAAAUAAAGCUCUGAUAAGGACUCAGCUCACUUAAAGCUCUGAUGGUCUAGAAGAUCUGACAACCAAAAGACUCUGAAGGCUCAGAAGCUCUGAUGGUGUAGAAGACUCUGACGAUCCAGACUCUGAAGAGUGAAGACUCAGAAGUCCAGAAGCAACUGGCUCUGAAGACGAUGUACUGAUCCUCUGAAGUGAAGAUCAGAAGGUACAACGGUCAGAGGAUCCAAGCUUCCCUCUGACUCUGAUCAAUCAGCUUCACAAGUUCCUAUACGAAGCGCUCCCCUGAUCAGAAGUCUACAAGGUUAAGGUCAAGUCACUAUCCAAAGUACAAAAGCAAAGUGUACUAUCCUGACGACCUACCUAACAUCCUCAGCCACAGCAGAAGCUGGAAUUUCCAAAACUGCCCUCCAACGGUAGCAUUUCCAUGCAACGUUCAACCCUAAUCCUUGGAGUAUAAAUAGAGGCUGAAGAGUGAAAGAAGCGGCUAGAAGCAUUCACACACGCGGAAGAAAUAUUCAAAUCCUUCUAAGCUUUCUUUCAUCCUGAAUUUCAUUGUGUUUACUAUAAGCUUUUUAGAAGCACUUUCUUUGUAAACAAGAACUUCAUAUAUAGUUGUAUAGUUUUCCUUUAGGAGAUCAAGGUUGAUCGGAUCCUAGAGAAGACUAAGAGAGUGAGUCUUAGUGUGAGCUAAGUCAGUGUAUUGUUAGUCACUUGUAGGUUUCAAGUGCAGUUGUAACACAUACCUGAUUAGUGGAUUGCCUUCAGUCUAAGAAGGAAGAAAUCACCUUAACGGGUGGACUGUAGUAGCUUGAGUGAUUUAUCAAGUGAACCAGGAUAAAAUCCUUGUGUGCUUUUCUAUCUCUCAUCUUUAGCACUUAGUUCUCGAAAAGAUUUGUUAAAAUCUUUAAGGUGGUAGUUUUGUACUGAAAACGUUAUUCAAACCCCCCCUUUCUACCGUUUUUCAUACCUUCAAUUGGUAUCAGAGCGCAAGUUCUGAUUACCACACCUAACAGUGUUCAGUGAUCCGGGCCGGUGUGAAAAACAAUGGCUACCACUAGUGAAACACAGAAAGAUGGAUACAACGCAAAGCCUCCUAUGUUCGACGGUCAAAGGUUCGAGUAUUGGAAAGAUAGACUCGAAAGUUUCUUUUCUGGGUUUUGAUGCAGAUCUCUGGGAUAUUAUUGUGGAUGGCUAUGAGCGUCCAGUUGAUGAAGAAGGCAAGAAGAUCCCAAGGUCAGAGAUGACUGCAGAUCAAAAGAAGCUGUACUCACAACAUCACAAAGCAAGAGCAAUUCUUCUAAGUGCUAUUUCUUAUGAAGAGUACUAGAAGAUUACAGAUCGUGAGUAUGCAAAAGGCAUUUUGAAUCUCUGAAGAUGUCUCAUGAAGGAAACAAGAAAGUUAAAGAAUCAAAGGCAUUGUCUUUGAUCCAAAAGUAUGAAUCCUUCAUCAUGGAGCCAAAUGAGUCCAUUGAAGAAAUGUUCUCCAGAUUUCAGGUGCUUGUAGCUGGAAUACGACCUCUCAACAAGAGCUACACAACAAAAGAUCACGUCAUAAGGGUCAUCGGGUCUCUUCCUGAAAGCUGGAUGCCUUUAGUGACAUCAAUAGAGCUCACAAGAGAUGUCGAGCGUAUAAGUUUAGAAGAACUCAUUAGCAUUCUGAAAUGUCAUGAGCUGAAGCGUUCUGAGAUGCAAGAUCUGAGGAAAAAGACUAUAGCCUUGAAAUCCAAAUCUGAAAAGGCUAAGGCUGAGAAGUCAAAGGCUCUCCAAGCUGAAGCUGAAGAAUCUGAAGAAGCAUCAGAAGAUUCUGAUGAAGAUGAGCUGACUCUGAUCUCCAAGAGACUCAACCGCAUCUGGAAGCACAAGCAAAGCAAGUACAGAAGCUCUGAAAAGGCCAAAGGAAAGUCUGAAUCCUCAGGUCAGAAGAAGUCAUCAAUCAAGGAAGUCACAUGUUUUGAGUGCAAAGAAUCAGGGCACUACAAAAGUGAUUGUCCAAGGUUGAAGAAGGACAAGAAGCCAAAGAAGCACUUCAAGACGAAGAAGAGUCUGAUGGUGACAUUUGAUGAAUCAGAGUCAGAGGAUGUUGACUCUGAUGGUGAAGUCCAAGGACUCAUGGCUAUUGUCAAAGACAAAGGAGCAGAGUCGAAAGAAGCUGUUGACUCUGACUCAUAAUCAGAAGGAGAUCCCAACUCAGACGAUGAAAAUGAGGUAUUCGCUUCUUUCUCUACCUCUGAACUGAAACAUGCUUUGUCUGAUAUCAUGGAUAAGUAUAAUUCUUUAUUGUCUAAGCAUAAGAAGUUGAAAAAGAACUUAUCUGCUGUUUCUAAGACUCCUUCUGAACAUGAGAAAAUUAUUUCUGAUUUGAAAAAUGAUAAUCAUGCUUUGAUCAAUUCUAACUAUGUGCUUAAGAACCAGAUUGCUAAGUUAGAAGAAAUAGUUGCUUGUGAUGCCUCUGAUUGUAGAAAUGAAUCUAAGUAUGAAAAGUCUUUUCAAAGAUUCCUGGCUAAGAGCUUAGAUAGAAGCUUAAUGGCUUCAAUGAUCUAUGGCGUAAGCAGAAAUGGAAUGCAUGGCAUUGGCUAUUCUAAACCAAUUAGAAAUGAGCCCUCUGUGUCUAAAGCAAAAUCUUUGUAUGAAUGCUUUGUUCCCUCUGGUACCAUAUUUCCUGAUCCUUUACCUGCUAAAGUUGCUAAAACCCCUCUUAAAAAGGGAUCUUUCUCCAUGUCUAAAUAUCAUGCAAAAAUUCCUUUACACUAUCAUGUUGAGAAACCCAAGGUGAUCAGAACCUCUGGGGUAACUAACAAGAAAUGACCCAAAAAGUGGGUACCUAAGGACAAGAUUAUCUAUGUUGCAGAUAUCCUUGAUAGCUCCACUGAAACACCAGUCAUGGUAUCUGGACAGUGGAUGCUCGCGUCACAUGACGGGAGAAAGGCGUAUGUUCCAAGAGCUAAAACUUAAGCCUGGAGGCGAAGUUGGCUUUGGAGGAAAUGAAAGGGUAAAAUUGUUGGUACUGGUACUAUUUCUGUAGAUAGUAGUCCAUGCAUUGACAAUGUGUUAUUGGUAGACGGCUUAACUCAUAACUUAUUGUCUAUAAGUCAAUUAGCUGACAAGGGUUAUGAUGUUAUUUUCAAUCAAAAGUCUUGCAGGGCUGUAAGUCAGAUCGAUGGCUCUGUUCUGUUUAACAGCAAGAGGAAGAACAACAUUUAUAAGAUCAGAUUAUCUGAGUUGGAGGCUCAGAAUGUGAAGUGCCUUCUUUCUAUUAAUGAAGAGCAGUGGGUAUGGCAUAGACGGUUAGGGCAUGCCAGUAUGAGAAAGAUUUCUCAGCUGAGCAAGCUAAACCUUGUCAGGGGCUUACCCAAUCUGAAGUUCGCUUCAGACGCUCUUUGUGAAGCAUGUCAGAAAGGCAAAUUCACUAAAGUCCCUUUCAAGGCAAAGAAUGUUGUCUCAACCUCAAGGCCGUUGGAACUUCUGCAUAUCGACCUGUUUGGACCAGUGAAAACUGAGUCUAUAGGUGGCAAGAGAUAUGGGAUGGUCAUCGUUGACGACUAUAGCCGCUGGACAUGGGUAAAGUUUCUAACCCGCAAGGAUGAGUCUCAUGCUGUGUUCUCUACCUUCAUUGCCCAAGUGCAAAACGAGAAGGCUUGUAGGAUUGUGCGUGUCAGAAGUGACCAUGGUGGAGAGUUUGAGAAUGACAAGUUUGAGAGUCUGUUUGAUUCCUAUGGAAUUGCACAUGGUUUCUCUUGUCCCAGAACUCCUCAACAAAAUGGUGUUGUUGAGAGGAAGAACAGAACUCUCCAGGAGAUGGCUAGAACCAUGCUCCAAGAAACUGGCAUGGCUAAGCACUUUUGGGCAGAGACAGUAAAUACAGCAUGUUACAUUCAGAACAGAAUCUCUGUGAGACCAAUUCUGAAUAAGACUCCCUAUGAAUUGUGGAAGAACAUAAAACCCAACAUUUCUUAUUUUCAUCCUUUUGGUUGUGUUUGUUAUGUUCUUAAUACUAAGGAUAGAUUGCAUAAAUUUGAUGCUAAGUCUUCUAAAUGUCUAUUACUUGGUUACUCUGAUAGAUCUAAAGGUUUUAGAUUUUACAAUACUGAUGCAAAGACUAUUGAAGAGUCUAUUCAUGUUAGAUUUGACGAUAAGCUUGACUCUGACCAGUUAAAGCUAGUUGAGAAAUUUGCAGAUUUAAGUAUAAAUGUUUCUGACAAAGGCAAAGCUCUAGAGGAAGCUGAGCCAGAGGAAGAUGAACCAGAAGAAGAAGCCGGUCCCUCUGAUUCACAAACUCUGAAGAAGAGCAGAAUCACUGCAGCUCACCCUAAGGAAGUGAUUAUGGGCAACAAAGAUGAACCAGUCAGAACCAGAUCAGCCUUCAGACCCUCUGAAGAGACUCUGCUCAGUCUGAAAGGAUUGGUGUCCUUAAUUGAACCCAAGUCCAUAGAUGAAGCUCUUCAGGACAAGGAUUGGAUUCUGGCCAUGGAAGAAGAAUUGAAUCAAUUCUCCAAGAACGAUGUUUGGAGCUUAGUGAAGAAGCCUGAGAGUGUCCAUGUAAUUGGAACGAAAUGGGUGUUCAGAAACAAAUUGAAUGAGAAAGGAGAUGUAGUCAGAAACAAGGCAAGGCUAGUUGCUCAAGGCUACAGCCAGCAGGAAGGAAUAGACUACACAGAAACAUUUGCUCCAGUAGCAAGACUAGAAGCAAUCAGACUGUUGAUCUCCUUCUCAGUGAAUCACAACAUAGUUCUUCAUCAGAUGGAUGUGAAGAGUGCUUUCCUAAAUGGUUAUAUUUCAGAGGAAGUAUAUGUUCAUCAACCCCCAGGUUUUGAAGAUGAGAAAAAACCAGACCAUGUGUUCAAAUUGAAGAAAUCACUCUAUGGUCUGAAGCAAGCUCCCAGAGCAUGGUAUGAGAGACUCAGCUCAUUCCUUCUGGAGAAUGAGUUUGUAAGAGGUAAAGUAGAUACAACUCUCUUUUGCAAAACUUAUAAAGAUGAUAUCUUAAUUGUGCAAAUCUAUGUUGAUGAUAUAAUAUUUGGCUCUGCUAAUCAAUCUCUAUGCAAAGAAUUUUCUGAGAUGAUGCAGGCUGAAUUUGAGAUGAGUAUGAUGGGAGACCUAAAGUACUUUCUGGGAAUACAAGUUAAUCAAACACCAGAAGGAACAUAUAUCCAUCAGAGCAAGUACACUAAAGAACUUCUGAAAAAGUUCAACAUGCUGGAAUCUACAGUGGCCAAGACUCCAAUGCAUCCUACAUGCAUUCUGGAGAAAGAAGAUGCAAGUGGUAAAGUUUGUCAGAAGCUUUAUGGUGGUAUGAUAGGAUCUCUUCUAUAUUUAACUGCAUCUAGGCCAGAUAUAUUAUUUAGUGUUCACUUAUGUGCUCACUUCCAAUCAGAUCCAAGGGAAACCCACUUAACUGCUGUUAAGAGGAUCCUAAGGUAUGUGAAAGGCACCACUAACCUUGGCUUGAUGUAUAAGAAAACAUCAGAGUAUAAGCUUUCAGGUUAUUGUGAUGCUGAUUACGCUGGAGAUAGAACAGAGAGAAAAAGUACUUCUGGAAAUUGUCAAUUUCUGGGAAGUAAUCUAGUCUCAUGGGCAAGCAAGAGGCAAUCAACCAUUGCACUAUCCACUGCAGAGGCAUAAUAUAUCUCAGCAGCAAUAUGCAGCACUCAGAUGCUCUGGAUGAAACAUCCGCUGGAGGAUUAUCAGAUCCUUGAGAGCAAUAUCCCAAUCUAUUGUGAUAACACUUCUGCAAUAUCAUUGAGUAAGAAUCCUAUCUUACAUUCAAGAGCAAAGCACAUUGAGGUAAAGUAUCACUUUAUUAGAGAUUAUGUACAGAAGGGCGUACUUCUUCUGAAGUUUGUUGAUACUGACCAUCAAUGGGCAGAUAUCUUUACAAAGCCCUUAGCAGAGGAUAGAUUUAAUUUUAUUCUGAAAAAUCUGAAUAUGGACUUUUGUCCAUAGUGAAGAUGGAUCAGAACCUCUGACCAUGAUACUUCUUGAUCAGAAGAUGUCUAGUCCAGAAGGUAACUCCGUCAGAGUGUACGUACCCAUUGGUACUGACUCUGAAGCUGAGACAGUAACACGUGUGUCAGUAUCUCUGAUGCAUAGUUCCUUGUGCCCGUGUGACAGUCUGUCAUAACGUGUGUAGAUGUGCUUCUCUCCUGUGUGUGAUAUGUGUAUUUACUGUUACUAUGAUGUCUUUAAUUUUUAACCGUUGAUUUUAAUUUGCUUUUUGAAUCAACAACGGUUAUUUGUCAAAACCCACUGUAACAUCCUGAUCUGACGACUGGCCUCACGGUAACAGCACGAGUCUUUUCAGCGCACUUUGUCCUCACUCGCAUGCUUCCCGGGAAAACUUCCCAGGAGGUCACCCAUCAUAAUAUUGCUCCAAGGCUAGCACACUUAACCAUGGAGUUCUUACGAGUUGGGCUCCCGAAAAGAAGUUGCAACUUGUUGUUAUGAGUAGUACCAAUCAAAUCGUUUAUGCCCUCCUCAACUGUAUAGUCCAUCCCUAUACAGUCUCGGAAUACCUCUUGUUCGGGUGUGAGAUCAGUUCAUUCAUGUGCCCCUCCGCCUAGAAGCCUGCCAGGAGCCGCUCCUUGUCCGUGCCUCACUGCACCGGCGAUCACUCCCCGCCCUCGUCUGCCCCGGGUGUCACAGGCCCACCAGCUUCCGCUUGGUUCGUCCUCGAACCACACCGUACUGGGAGAGGUUGGCUUUGAUACCACUUGUAACAUCCUGAUCUGACGACUGGCCUCACGGUAACAACACGAGUCUUUUCAGCGCACUUUGUCCUCACUCGCACGCUUCCCGGGAAAACUUCCCAGGAGGUCACCCAUCAUAAUAUUGCUCCAAGGCUAGCACACUUAACCAUGGAGUUCUUAUGAGUUGGGCUCCCGAAAAGAAGUUGCAACUUGUUGUUAUGAGUAGUACCAAUCAAAUCGUUUAUGCCCUCCUCAACUGUAUAGUCCAUCCCUAUACAUUCUCGGAAUACCUCUUGUUCGGGUGUGAGAUCAGUUCAUUCAUGUGCCCCUCCGCCUAGAAGCCUGCCAGGAGCCGCUCCUUGUCUGUGCCUCACUGCACCGGCGAUCACUCCCCGCCCUCGUCGGCCCCGGGUGUCACACCCACUAUACACACACGAUCUCCUACACUCUCGAUUUUACUCUCUCUCUCUUGUUCUCCUGUUCUCCUACUUGAAGGAAUGUAUCAAGAAGUCCAGAACUACUGCCUCCAUCAAGUCAACAAUCAAAUAUAUCCCUUUUGGGAGAUUGCUUUCAGAUCUCUUUAUUGAGAGCAACCUUGUGCAAGAUCUGGUCAAUGCUGGAUGCAUAGAGGAUCUGACCACUAUUGUCAGUGAUGUCUUCACUGCCAAUUCUCUGAAGAAGAUGGGUUUGAUCCAGAAGAAAAUUGCCCCAGCUCAUGAAGAUACAUCUGCUGAAAUCAGACAGAGAAGGGUGCCUCUGAACGACUUCCCUCUGUGGACGCAGGCAGAUAACCCUGAAGCUAUUAGGUGCUAUGUUGAAGACCUAAGGGCUCAAGGCUUUGAAAUUGAUCUAGAUGAAUUCUUCAGAAGACUGCCGCCAGCUCUAGAGUUUGACUCUCCUCCCAAGAGGAAAGUUCAGAGGAAGAUGGUCCUAGAAGAAUCCUCUGAGGAAGCUGAUGUCCCUCUGACAAAGAGGAAGAAGACUGACCAGCCAAAGAGGAAACAUGAUGAAACCACCAAGCCAGAUGGUGGUGGUGAUGGUGAUAAUGAUGGUGGUCCUUCUCCUCCCAAGAAGAAGAAGAAACAAGUCAGACUUGUGGUGAAGCCUACAAGGGUGGAACCAGCUGCUCAAGUGGUCAGACGGAUUGAAACUCCUUCCAGAGUGACUCGGUCAUCAGUGCGAUCAUCAAGUAAGUCUGUUGUUGAUUCUGAUGAUGACUUAAAUACAUUUGAUGCACUCCCCAUCUCUGCUAUGCUCAAACGAUCCUCAAACCCACUCACUCCUAUUCUUGAGUCCCAACCAUCUGCACAAGCCACUUCUCCACCACACUCACCAAGGUCUUCAUUUUUCCAACCCUCUCCCAAUGAAGCACCUCUUUGGAAUAUGCUUCAGAACCAACCUACCGAACCUUCUGAUCCAAUCUCUCCUAUCACCAUUCCAUACAAUCCAGAAUCUGAUCCCAUUAUUCUUGAACCUGAACAUACAAUUCCUGUCCAACCAGAACCUGAACCCAGAACCACUGAUACAGAUUCCUCAACUGCCUAUACUCCUGUAUCAUUCCCCAUCAAUGUUGCUGAUUCCUCACCUUCCAACAACUCUGAAUCCAUUCGUAAAUUUAUGGAAGUUAAGAGAGAAAAAGUGUCUGCUAUUCCUGAGUAUUACCUCACAUGUCCAAGCCCUAGGAGAUAUCAUGGACCUAGACCUGAACGUCUAGUCGACCCAGAUGAACCUAUCCUGGCUGACCCUUUACAUGAGGCAGAUCCUUUAGCUCAACAAGCUCAACCUGACCCUAUCCAUCAAGAGCCAUUUCAACCAGAACCAGACCACUCUGUGUCUAACCACUCCUCGGUUAGAUCACCACAUCCUCUGGUUGAAACCUCUGAACCUCACCUUGGAACCUAUGAACCAAAUGCUCACAUGUUCAACAUUGGUUCUCCUCAAGGUGUCUCUGAGGCAAACAGCAGCAACCACCCAACCUCUCCUGAAACCAACCUAUCCAUUGUUCCCUACACUCACCUAAGACCAACCUCUAUCUCUGAGUGCAUCAGUGUUUUUAAUCAUAAAGCGUCACUGAUGAUUCGCAACGUCAAAGGUCAUACUGAUCUGAGUGAGGAUCCUGACUCUGUUGAUGAGGAAUGGAAUAAUCUGAGUACUUGGUUAGUUGCUCAGGUUCCUGCUAUGAUGAGUCAUCUUAUUGCUGAAAGGGAUCAGAGGAUAGUAGCUGCCAAGCAGAGGUUUGCAAGAAGAGUAGCUCUUCAUGAACAACAACAAAGACACAAGCUCCUUGAAGUUAUUGAAGAGACCAGAAGAAAGCAAGAGCAAGCAGAAGACGCUGCACGUCAAGCAGCAGCUCAAGCUGAACAAGAAAGAUUAGAGGCAGAAAGACUUGAAGCUGAAGCUGAAGCCCUUAGAUGCCAAGCACUUGCACCAGUAGUGUUUACUCUUGCUGCUUCUGCUUCCAUUCCAGCUCAUCAAGCUGCUCAGAAUGUUCCUUCCAGCUCCACACAGUCAAGCUCGUCCAGACUCGACCUCAUGGAACAGCGUCUUGACACUCAUGAGUCUAUGCUAAUUGAAAUGAAGCACAUGAUGAUGGAACUUCUGCUUCGAUCUGAUAAACCCUAGUUUUAGGAUCUCUUCGCUCUUCCUUUUUUAACUUUGUUCUAUUUGGUUAACUUCUGUAUCUUUUUUCUUUAGUAAUUCUGCUUUGUUCUUUUGUGAUUAUCUAUGCAUAUAUAUAUAUAUAUAUAUAUAUAUAUAUAUAUAUAUAUUUGUCACAUUGUGUUUGCAAAAAAUUUUCUUUAUUCAUAAUCAUUAUGUUUACAUCAUACAUUUUCUUUUCCUAAAGUCUAGAAUGGAGGAUCCUUCCUCAUUCUUCUGCACUCUUGGCGCUGCUCUGACCUCUCCCUCUCCAGACGAUCCAGUGAAUACUGGAUGUUGUUGAGAUUGACGAUCAGCUCACUCCUCUCCAGAACCUCUUCUGUUGUCUUGAGCUUUCUUUCUAUCGUGUCCUUCUCUUCCAGUAGCCUCAGCUCAAGCUGGCUGAGUUCUUGAACUUCUUCCACGAAGGCAAGAAAUUCCUUCAAGUCGUUCUUUAGCUCUGGACGAAGGUCCUCCUCAAGCAGUGUCCUCGUCAGUUCUGAUAUGGUCGUUGUACCCUCUGGAUGCCUUAUGUUCAGGAACAAGUCCACCUCAAAGGCCUUCCUUCUGAGCUCUUCAAGUGCUUCCCUGUAUGAUGCCAUUUUUUUAAAUUGUUCGAGUUGUGAAGCUUACCCUUUUUCUCCAUCGCUUUAUAUAGGCUUCACUUUCUCUCUGAAAGUUAAUGCUUCUACAGUUUCUCGAGGUUAAGUUCUUGGUAACUGACUCUUGUAACACCCCGAUUUCCAGGUGUCACUUUAGUAACCAAAAAUAAAAUUUACGCGGAAAACAGGUAAUUUUUUUCCAAUUGAUUCCUUUAAAUCAAAGCGAUAGAAAAAUAAAGACAUAACCCAACACUAACUAACCAACAUACACAUAUAUACACAUGUACAGCCUCAGCUGCACUCCCAAGUCACCCGCACUCGCAGUGACUCCAAAGUAGUGUGCCCGCAGGCAAAUAUAACAAACCAGCACUGUAAGUGAAAGUAUCAAAUAUACAGUCAUCCAAUGAGAAAGUCGGCCUCAAAAUGGCCUAAGCAAAACCCCUACAGUCCGACUAACACACUGUGAUCCAUCAAUAAGAGAACCACACGAAAAGCCAUGCGUCGAAAACCUACCCUGUCCCCAAAAAGCAAACGAAUCAGAGCUCUACACAAAAUAUGACGCCUGCCUAAACCUACCCUCCCAGUACCGCUCAAGCUCCUCCUCCUCAUCCUCGUUGCUCGGCGAGUAACUGUCAACUUCGGUGUCGGAGUCAGAGUCCAAGUCCACAGCGAUCUGAAGUCGGCAAGUUGAAGCUCAGCUCCAUGCGUCGUAGAACUCCUUUCGUCAGACGUCCACGCUCGUCAACCCGGUCCUCCAUGACCCUUCCCCGGUACGUCGCUCGAUGACCCACAAGAUAGAUCACCCAAACGGUGGGGCAUGUCAGUCAACGAGCUCAAACCCGAUCCCCCCGAGGGAGAGACCAUCGAAACCCAAUCCACCGUCGACGUCUGGCAGCAGGCCGACCGCCCAAACAAAAACAUGAAACCAAAGCCAAGGCGCUAGGGUCAACUCACGGAAAUAAGUAGAUAUACACUCAACAUGUGAUAUGGGGUAUAGAUAUAUAUGUUGGCUCUAACAAGGCUUCAAUAAAUCAAACAGCACACGAUUCCAGUCAUAAUGAAUGUAUGCGUGAAAUGCACAAUAUGAUCCGGAUUGUGACGCGUUCCCGUUCGCCACAAGUGAAGCAUUCCCGUUCUUCACUAUGGAUGAACCAUUCCCGUUAUUCAUCCUGGAUGAACCAUUCCCGUUAUUCAUCCUCGGUGAACCAUUCCCGUUAUUCACCGUAUGAUGAACCAUUCCCGUUAUUCACCGUAUGAUGAACCAUUCCCGUUAUUCAUCAUAUAUGCAUUGGUGAACCAUUCCCGUUAUUCACCAUGAUAUGCACAGGUGAACUAUUCCCGUUAUUCACCCGAUUGAAUGCAACGUGGUUAGCCAAACAUCGAAUCGUCCUCCCACACAAGUGUUUAGCUCAAACCCAAACUCAAAACAACCCAUGAGUUAGUGUCGGUCAAUACAACACAACUCGGAGUAAGUGUCGGUCAAUACAACACCACUCCACCCACAAGAGUACACAAGGGUCUAGUGUCGGUCAAUACAACACAGCCCAAACAACAAGAGCACUAAGUGUCAGUCAAUACAACACGGCUCCAACAACAAGAUACCCAGGGGAUUAGUGUCGGUCAAUACAACACAACCCCAACAACAAAACCCAAAAUCAAAGCCAGAGUCAGUGUCGGUCAAUACAACACGACUCGAACAACACUACCAGGAGUACUAGAGUACUCGGUGACUUUCAAUCAUCACCAUAGCUCACCUUAGUGGCUUUCCCCAAUACCAAAACCCACAACAAAGAUCGACUUUUCCCCGUCUUUCGUAAAUAUUUUCCCCUUCAGUUUUCCUAUGNNNNNNNNNNNNNNNNNNNNNNNNNNNNNNNNNNNNNNNNNNNNNNNNNNNNNNNNNNNNNNNNNNNNNNNNNNNNNNNNNNNNNNNNNNNNNNNNNNNNCUAUCAUGCAAUCAUAGCUAAUAUGUAAAUUGCCCUAACCUCGAGCUGCUCCAGCUUCGAAAUCACAAGUUCCUUCAAACAAAUGCUCUGAGUAUUCCAAAGUUCCUUCAACUGAACCUCGGAGAAAACAAAGCAGAAUCCAAACAAAAUCGAUUAGUUCGAUCAAAAUACAACUCAUAAGCAAUAGACAAAGCAUUAAAGCUUCAGAAUACAACAUUCGGAUGCGAAAAGACAAGUUUUCGAAAAUGAAGACUCCCCCCCCCAACACUACAAACUCUCGACCAAAAGGAGAAAAGGGCUUCGGCUCUUUUUCUAUGAUCAAAUCUGUUUACAAAGUAGUUUUAGGGUAAAACUAAGGCAAAGAAACUGUCGGAACAAUUUUCGGACAAUCGGGUCGAAAUACGGCUAUCCAGGGGCAUUUUGGUCCAAAAUAAAGGCUCAAAACCUCAAAGUUAUCAGUUCGGAAAACAAAUUUGACAGCAAUGAUCCUAACGACAUCCGUGACAACAAAUCCUAAAGGCACGAAGUCAGAUUAUGACUUUUCGACAGUAAAGUUUCGAAAUGUGCGACAAAAGAGUUUUGAAUCAGUUUUUCAGAUCCUGGACAACUGGAUCCAUAACGGCGAUUACUGACAAAGGUUUUAGGCUCUUGGGAACCUAGGGAACAAACCCCAACCAAGAAAUCAAGGAAAUCGGACAAUUUUACAAAAAGCUCAAAACUUAGAGCAUAGAAACGACUUCAGAAACGCAACAGAAACAGCAAUCAGAGGUAGGAUUCAUGCUAGUUACCUCAAUACCUAGAAGUAGGGACGAACUGCAUGAAGAUCAGUCAAGUUUUCGCGAAAAACUUUCUCCCCCAAGCUCCCCUCAAACUCGCGGCCUUGAUGGUGUGGAAUGGAGAGAUUUUUGCUUUUUCGCCUAUUUAUAGGCGGGCGAAAUCGCGGGAAAAUGAAAAUUUCGCGAUUCCGAUUUUUGCAGCACGUUCACCGAUGAAUUCUAAGAGAGAUUCUGGCGUCAGAAUUCCAGAACUCAAAACAAACCUCAGACAUUUGGGAAAAACGAAAUCUAAAAUCCCAAAAGCGGUGUAAGGUAAUCUGUCCCGAAAAACUACUUUUUGCUGUAAUGGUCAGACGACAAAACUUUAUACUGGGGAAAGAUUGGAAAUGUCGAAACAAAUCCGGCAACGCGGACGGAAACUUCGUUAGAAGUCCCGAAUAGAAAAAGUCUUCAUCCAUCGCUUGAAACUAGGGUUUCGAAGCAAAGAAAUUAGCGUCGGCGGACUUCCGACAGGUGAAUACUAUCAUGCGUACAGUCCAGAGUUCCGAAAUGAAACGCUGGUCGAAGGAAAAAUAAAUAGAACCUUUAAAUUUUCCAAGAAUUCGACAUAUCGCCUAAACAUUGCUUUAAAAGCGAAAUUAGCCUAUUCUCGACACGCUCGCCAUAAGGCAGAUGUGCAGACGACUCGCACUAAUUCCUACGGCGACUACGCAACAUUCCUCAAGCAAUUCCUGAACUUUCUUCUUCAUUAAUAUUUCUCAAACAUCAAACUCCUGUCACGCUUACACUGAUCCUACGCGUGAGUCGGAAAUUAACUUGUUCUUCAAAUCCAGAUCUUACAAUACUCCCCUCCAAAAAGAAAGUUUCGUCCUCGAAACUCAGAGUUUUGCGAAAAGUCCGGGAUACAGUUCCUUGAUCUUAUCUUCCAAUUCCCAUGUGGUAUUGCCCGUCUCAUUGUUCCCCAUAACCUUUACUUAAGCAAGCUGUUUUCCGCUUAACUGUUUCACUCUUCUAUCCCCACUGCUAACUGUCGGCGUCUCCAAAGACAAACCAUCAUUCAACUUCAUGUCGUCUGGCUCGAUCACUUGCGUCAGAUCUCUGCUUGAAAUGAUACCGGUUGGCACUCCGUGCAGUCGCACAACCUUAGCCACUUACUUCUUUACUUUCGGUCGUCCGAAAUUCUUCUUAAACUCGGUGCCUCUUUGUCAUUUCAAAGUAAAUACUCAACUUGUCCUCGUGAUCUUCAUCUACAGUCCAAAACUCCACUUGUCCGUUCGAUAACUCCUAGACGAAACAUCCCCUUGGAAACCGCUAGUCCAUUAACAUACCUCCAACUUCGUAACUAUCUUUACAAACACCCAGAAAUCAGACUUCUACUUAGUCACUACUCGAAUUAAACCUCGACUUAUGUCCUUAUUCCUUGUCCUUCACUAAUCUUAUCCCCUUCAACACCAAUCUAUCAACAACUUAUAAGAUAAUCCUUCUCUCAGUCCAAUAAUUAGUCUCUCGAUCAGAACCUGACAAGACUUCAUGUCUCACACGUUUAGGAUAAAAUCAAUUGGCUUAAAAUCUAAACCUUCACUAAGUGUGGACCACCAAAAUCCUUUAACUCUCCAACACUUCUUAAGUGAAUAUUCAUUUCUUAAAACGACAACUACUUCCCAAAGAAAAUCAAUUACUUAACACGAACUUCCCUCCUAAACCCGAGACUAAUCCUCGAUCGAUUCAAAUUCAUCUUACACAUCCUUCUAUCAAAGUCCAUAACCAGCUGUGAUUCCGAAUAUCACCCUCUCAAUAUUAGGUUGAUCAGGCCUAAUACAUCGAAGGUAGAAAUUUAGAAAAACCCACUGGAACAGUCAAUGAGUUCCUAUCCUCCAGUAGUCACAAAUAUCCUGACACUAAAUCCUUUAAUGAUCCCGCUAUGGAACUACACACCCUCAAUAUAACACGUAUACUACCCAUACGGAAUCUCCCUAAGAUUCGUUCUUCAGCUACUAGCUUCCUCAUAAUCGCAUCAGUGGAAGACUACUUUCUAGACUUAGUGUGCUUUUCCCAACCUCGUGUAACUUCUAUAGUUAAAACACGAGCAACUUCGAAUAAGGUCCUACUAGGGAUAAUAAUCAUAAGAUCAUAGUCUAAGUAGUAAAUACAAGUUAGGCGCGUCAUACCCGUUUCGAAGAUGAAGGAGUAAGUUAUUCUAGAAUAAGAGAACAGUUAAAAUAUUACCAUCGUUCCCACGUUCUUCCUCGUUCGACUCCUCAACUCUUGCUCCUUCCUUGGUAUGAAUCGUUUCCUCUGUAGCAAGUCGUUUUCCUCUCCCAACAUUCCCUGAUGAUUCGCCCUUGGGUGCCUUACAAUCUCUGGAGAAAUGUCCCGGUUGGUUGCAAUUUAAGCAUAGACUUUCUUUGAUCUUGCACCUACUGGCAUAGUGCCCUCUUUCCCCACAGUUGAAGCAUAGAGAUCCCCCGUUUGGACACUUGUUACUGUAGUGCCCCACUUUCCUGUACCUGUACACGUCACUGUUUUUCCCAAAGUCUUGUUUCAUGUCCCUUCGGUAGCAUCAUUCCCUUUCAUCUUACUAUCAGACUUUCCCCCUGGAGUGUCUUGCAGUUCACAACUAGAUGCCCCUCUCGGUUACACUUGAAGCAUCUCCGUCCAAUCACUGAGCACUUGUUAGCAAAAUGCCCAAACUUUCCGCAACGAAAACAUGUCACACCUUUGUCACCAACUGACUUCCCUCCAGUAUCAGCAGUCGUUGGUUUGUACGUUCUUGAGAUAAGAUCUCUUCUCUCGGGACGCUGAUAUGGUCCCUACUGAUGGUGUAAGACCUGGAUUUUCAGAACAAGCUAAUUUCCGACUCACGCGCAGAAUCAGUGUAAGCGUGACAGGAGUUUGAUAUUUGAGAAAGAUUAAUGAAGAAGAAAGUUCAGGAAUUGAUUGAGGAAUGUUGCGUAGUUGCUUUCGGAGUUAGUGUGAGUCGUCUGCACACCUGCCUUAUGGCGAACGUGUCCAGAAUAGGGUUUUUUCGCUUCUAGAGCAACGUUUUAAGUGAGAUUUCGAAUUCUUGGAAAAUUUAAAGAUUCUCUUUAUUUUUCCUUCGACCAGCGUUUCAUUUCGGAACUCUGGACUGUACGCACGAUAGUAGUCACUUUCCGGAUGUCCGCCGACGCUAAUUUCUUUGCUUCGAAACCCUAGAUUCGAGCGAUGGAUGAAGACUUUUUCUAUUCGGGACUUCUAACGAAGAUUCCGUCCGAGUUGCCAGAUUUGUUUCGACAUUUCCAACCUUUCUUCAGAAGGAAGUUUUGUCGUCCGGCGAUCACAGCAAAAAGUAGUUUUUCGGGGCAGAUUUAACUUACACCGCUUUUGAGAUUUUCGAUAUCGUUUUUCCCAAAUCAUAGACAUUUGUUUUGAGUUCUGGAUUUCUGACGCCAGAAUCUCUCUUAGAAUUCCACGGUGAUCGUGCUGCAAAAAUCGGAAUCGCAAAAUUUUCAUUUUCCCGCGAUUUCACCUGCCUAUAAAUAGCUCAAAAAGCAAAAAUUCCUUCAUUUUCUUCCUAUUGUGGCUGAAUUUCGUGGAGAGCAAGGGGGGAGGAGAUUUUUCGCGAAAACUUGACCAAUCUUCGUGCAGUUCGUCCCUACUUCUAGGUAUUGAGGUAACUAGCAUGAAUCCUAUCUUUGAUUACUGAUUCUCUUGCGUUUCUGAAGCCGUUUCUGUGCUCACAGUUUUGAGCUUUUUCUAAAAUUGUCUGAUUUCUUCGAUUUCUUGGUUGGGUUAUGUUUUCUAGGUUCCCAAGAGCCUAAAACCUCUGUCAGUAAACACCGUUUGCGAUCGAGCUGUCCAGGAUCUGAAAAACUGUUUCAAAACCCCUUUAGUCGCACAUUUCGAAACUUUAUUGUCGAAAAGUCAUAAUCUGACUUCGUGCCAUUAGGAUUAGUUGUUACAUAUGUCGUGAGGAUCAUUGCUGUCAAAUUUGUUUUCAGAACUGAUAACUUUGAAGUUUUGAGCCUUUAUUUUGGACCAAAAUGCCCCUGGAUAGCCGUAUUUCGACCCGAUUGUCCGAAAAUUGUUCCGACAGUUUCUUUGCCUUAGUUUUACCCUAAAACUACCUUGUGAAUUGAUUUGAUCGAAGAAAAAGAGCCGAAGCCCUUUUUCCUUUGAGGUCGUGGGCUAUUUCCUUUAGGGGGAGUUUUUCGGUUUCGAAAACUUGUCUUUUCGUACUCGGAUGUCGUAUUCUGAAGCUUUAAUGCUUUGUCUAUCGUUUAUGUAUUGUAUUGCGAUCGAACUAAUCGAUUUUGUUUAGAUUCUGCUUUGUUUUUCCUCCGAGGUUCAGUUGAAGGAACUUUGGAAGUUUCAAGGCAUUUCUGUGAAGGAGCUUGUGAUUUCGAAGCUGGAUCAGCUCGAGGUUAGGGCAACUUGCUAUAUUUAGCUAUGAUUGCAUGAUAGCUGUCGAUAAAUUCGACUUAUGCUUUAUCUGAUGUUGUAUAUGAUGAUGAUUUAUUGUUAUGAUUGUUUUCAUAACUUAUGAUAUUGAUGAUGUGUUGAAUUGGGCGUUUUGACGCAACUUCGGAGUGGAGGUUCAUUGAUCUGGUGAUCUUUGACAUUUCGGGUUGGAAGAACAACCCUAGGCAAGUUCAAACGAGGGGUUUGAGACUUAGCCAUUUGUUGGUAAUCGUUGAAAUACUUAGACUUUCCCCGGGAAACUUCUUUUGGGUGGUUGGUUUUUGGAAAACUUAGAAGGAUUAGAAUUUUGAAAACUAGAGACUUUGGGGGACUUAGACUUUGAGAAAUAAACUCAUAACCUGACUAAUUCAAUUCGAAACGUUUUUACUAAACGAAUAACUAUAGGAGAACUAAAGGAGAAAAAUAAUUGCGAAAGGCGGGGAAAAGUCGACUUUUGUUGUGGGUUAUGGAGAGAAUUGGGGGAAAGCCACUACGGUGAGCUAAAGUGACGAUUGAAAGUCACCGAGUACUCUAGUACUCUUGGGAGUGUCGUUGGAGUCGUGCUGUAUUGACCGGCACAGACUCUGGGCUUUGUUUGUGGGUUUUGUGGUGGGAGUUGUGUUGUAUUGACCGACACUAACUCCGAGUCGUGUUGUAUUGACCGACACUGACUCUGGCUUUGAUUUUGGGUUAUCUUGUUGUUGGAGCCGUGUUGUAUUAACCGACACUUAGUGCUCGUAUUGUUUGGGUUGUGUUGUAUUGACCGACACUAGACCCUUGUGUAUUCUUGUUGAGGGAGUUGUGUUGUAUUGACCGACACUUACUCCGAGUUGUGUUGUAUUGACCGACACUAACUCAUUGGGUUGGGAGCUAGACACUUUCGUGGUAAGGACGAUUCGUUGUUUGGCUAACCAUAUUGCAUCAAUCGGGUGAAUAACGGGAAUGGUUCACCUGUGCAUAUCAUGGUGAAUAACGGGAAUGGUUCACCUUGCAUAAAUGAUGAAUAACGGGAAUGGUUCAUCAUAUGGUGAAUAACGGGAAUGGUUCACCAAGGAUGAAUAACGGGAAUGGUUCAUCCAUAGUGAAGAACGGGAAUGCUUCACUUGUGGCGAACGGGAACGCGUCACAAAUCCGGAUUCAUGAUUGCAUAUCACGCAUACAUUCAUUCUGACUUGAACUGUGUGCUGUUUGUUUAUUGAAGCAUUGUUAGAGCCAUGACAUGCUAGGAUUGUUUAUAUAUAUAUAUAUAUAUAUAUCAACAUAUAUCUAUACCCCAUAUCACAUGUUGAGUGUAUAUCUACUUAUUUCUGUGAGUUGACCCUAGCGCCUUGGCUUUGGUUGCAUGUUUGUGUUUGGGCGGUCGGCCUGCUGCCAGAUGUCGAUGGCCGACUGGUUUCGAUGGUCUCUCCUUCGGAGGGGAUCAGGUUUAAGAUGGAGGACCGGACUGACGAGCGUGGACGUCUGACGAUAGGAGUUCUACGACGUAUGGAGCUGAGCUUCAACUUGCCAACCUCAGAUCGCUGUGUUCUUGGUUCUGGGAGGAUAGGUUUAGGCAGACGUCAUGUUUUGUGUAGAGCUCUGAUUCGUUUUGCUUUUGGGACAGGGUAGGUUCCCGACACAUGACUUCUUGUGUGGUUCCCUUACUGAGAAAUCACAGUGAGUCAGUCGGACCAUAGGGGUCUUUGCUUAGGCCAUUUUGGGGCCGACUUUCUCUUGGAUAACGGUAUAUUUGACGCUUUUGCGUACAGUUCUGGUUUGUAUAUAUUCGCCUACGGGCAUGCUACCUUGGAGUCACUGCGUGUGCGCGUGACGGGAGAGUGCAGCUGAGGCUGUACAUUUGUAUAUGUUUGUUUAUCGGUUAGUUAGUCGUUGGGUUAGGUCUUUACUUUCUAUUGCCUUGUUUAAAAGGAAUCAAUCGAAAAAAAAUUACCUGUUUUCCGCGUAAAGUUUAUUUUUGGUUACUAAAGUGGCACCCGAAAAUCGGGGUGUUACAUUGUGGUAUCAGAGCUUAGUCGAGUCUUUUGGGAGUCUUUGGGGAAUAGGUCUUCUGUGCUAGGUUGUGUGACUCUGCAAAGAGUGAAAAUUGAUUGUCUGCAGAGCGAUUUUCGCUCUAAUUUCUUGCGUUACUACUCAAUCGGAUUGAGUGGUUUGUCUAGUGCUACCGUAUGGUUAGUACUAAUCGGACGUUCGAUGGGAUAUAGGAUGGUGGAUCUUAACCGGAUGGCGGAGGCGAUAGCUACACUGAUCGAGGCAAUGAUGAACCAGGCUGCGGAAGACGCUUACAUGCGCGCUGAAGAGGCUGCACGUGAGCAUCAUCAACGACUGAUGGCGACGACAAUGUAUCAACAAAGAGGAAUGAACCGAACAGGAGUGGGGACCGUACCAGCGUCCCGAGAGAAGAGAUCUUAACUCAAGAGCGUACAAACCAACGACUGCUGAUACUGGAGGGAAGCCAGUUGGUGACAAAGGUGUGACAUGUUUCGUUGCGGAAAGUUUGGGCAUUUUGUUAACAAGUGCUCAGUGAUUGGACGGAAAUGCUUCAAGUGUAACCGAGAGGGGCAUCUAGCUGUGAACUGCAAGACACUCCAGGGGGAAACGUCUGAUAGUAAGAUGAAAGGGAAUGAUGCUACCGAAGGGACAGGAAACAAGACUUUGGGAAAAACAGUGACGUGUACAGGUGCAGGAAAGUGGGGCACUACAGUAACAAGUGUCCAGACGGGGGAUCUCUAUGCUUCAACUGUGGGGAAAGCGGGCACUAUGCCAGUAAGUGCAAGAUCAAAGAAAGUCCAUGCUUCAAUUGCAACCAACCGAGACAUUUCUUCAGAGAUUGUAAGGCCCCCAAGGGUGAAUCAUCAGGGAAUGUUGGGAAAGGAAAACAACUUGUUACAGAGGAACGGAUUCAUACCAAGGAGGGGACAAGAGCUGAGGAGUUGAACGAGGAAGGACGAGGGAACGAUGGACCUUAUUCAUAGUUGCUCGUGUUUUAACUAUAGAAGUUACACGAGGUUGGGAAUGGCACACUAAGUCUAGAAAGUAGUCUUCCACCGAUGCGAUUAUGAGGAGGCUAGUAGCUGAAGAACGAAUCAUAGGGAGAUUCCGUAAGGGUAGUAUAAGUGUCAUGUUGAGGGUGUGUAGUUCCGUAGCGGGAUCCUUAAAGGAUUUAGUAUCAGGAUAUUUGUGACUACUGGAGGAUAGGAACUCAUUGACUGUUCCAGUGGGUUUUUCUAAAUUUCCACCUUCGAUGUAUUAGGCCCGAUCAACCUAAUAUUGAGGGGGUGAUAUUCGGAAUCACAGCUGGUAAUGGACCUUGAUAGAAGGAUGUGUAAGAUGAAUUUGAAUUGAUUGAGGAUUAGUCGGAUUUGGGAGGAAAGUUUGUGUUAAGCAUUUGAUUGUAAAAGACUAAGAUUUAAAUCUUUGGAAGUCGAUGAGUGCCGUAUAGACAUUGAUUGGUUAGUUCGUGUGAUUACUCCAAGUAGAGGUAGACUAAGUCAAGAGAUUUAAUGCUGGAAAGGUAUUAAGUAGUUUCCCGGAAGUUAUGAAGUCAUAGGUUAUGUGAUUACUGAGUGGAAUUGUUAGAGACUAAAUAAGUUGGAUUUAAUCAGGUUUUAGAUGAUAGCUUGAUGGUAGCAAGAGUGAGAAGAAUUAACUCUGAACUAGAUUGCUGUAGUCGAAUUCGAGGAAUAAGUUUUUCUAAGCGUUUGAUUAAUAUGUGGAGACAUUAUAGUCUUACGAGAUGAAUUCUCACUUGAAAAGUGUUGGAUUGAUUUGGGAAUGAUUAAGUGGGAGAAAGAAAGUUUUAGCAUAAGUUGAAUACUUGAGGUUGUUGAUAUGGAUUCCAAGGAAAUAUGCUAAGAUUACUAAGUGAGAUUGACUAAGUUGGACUGAAAUCUUAGAGUUGAGAUUGACCUUAAGAGUCGAGAAUCGCGUACGAGUAGGAGAUCUUAUGGUCGUAGGUGUGACAAUAGGAGUUGAAUCUUAGGAGAUUGAAGACCUGAAGGUGAGUGCCGGGUUGAAUCCAUUGGGGUAUAAUAUAAGAGUGAUCUUGAGGUAAAUGACUUCUGAGUGGAGUAGAGUGUUAAGACUGGUGAUAAAUUGGUGAAUCGAUUUGUGAUAAAGAGGAAUAUCGAUUUGAUGGUUUUAAUGAUGAUAGCUUCAAAAAGGGGACGACAUCAAUGGAUUCGUUAGAUUUUAAGAUGAUCAUUUGCUUAUGAGUUGGUGAUCGAUUGAUAUUGACUAUGAGGUUGCAGACAUAAUGAUCCAUGUGAUGAGAUUUGAAUGAUGUUAGCAUAAUAAGUAUGAUUGUGAAUGUGAAAGCAUGACGACACUGGUCAGGUCGUUUGGGUAAGUGAAGGAGUUAUAGUUUUAAGAAACGGGUAUUCAUUUAAGAAGUAUUGAAGGAUUAAAGGUCAUUAGACAACCAAACUUGGUGAAGGUUUAGGUUUUAAAUCUAUGAAUGUCUGUCUAAGGUGUGUAGGACUCGAAGUUUGUCAGAAUUUGAUUGAGAGAUUAAGAAGUUGAUUGACGAGAUGGUGAUUGAGUCACAAAAAGGAAGGUGUUAGUAUUAAGAUGAAUACCUGAGGUUGUUAUAUUUUGACGAGUUUCGUAGAGUAUAAGAGUCAAUGGGACUUUGUUAUGGAUUUUGAUGAUGCAUAUUACGGGUAAUAAGUGGAUUUUACUAAAGUUGAGUGAGAAUCCUAGGGCUAAGGUUGACCUAGUGAGCUGAGAUUCAUGUACACAUAAGAGAUUUAGUUGUGUUAGCGGCUACGAUAACAGUUAAAUCUCAUAAUGUUGAAGGAUCGGAUGAUAAAAUGGCUAGUUAAGUCCCCUGAUGUAUAGUUAUGAUUUAAUCUUCUAGAGGAUAAGUCUCGAUUUGUGCGAAGUGUUAGGGAUUUCAGUAAGUGUAAAUAGGUUUGAGUGAGGGAAGUUUUGAGAAAGAAGACGAUAAUAAUGGAUUGUUAGAUAUUAAGAGGAGGAUUAUCUUUUAAGUUGUUGAUAAAUUGAUGUUGAAGGGGAUAAGAUUAGUGAGGGACAAGAAAUAAGGACAUAAGCCGAGUUUUAAUUCGAAUGGUGACCAAGUAGAAGUUUGUUUUCUUGGUGUGUGUAAAGAUAGUUACGAAGUUGGAGGUGUUUAAUGGAAUAGCGGUUUCCAAGGGGAGGAUUCGUCUAGGAGUUAUCGAACGGACAAGUGGAGUUUUGGACUGUAGAUGAAGAUCACGAGGACAAGUUGAGUAUUUACUUUGAAAUGUCAGAGAGGCACCAAGUUUAAGAAGAAUUUCGGACGACCGAAAGUAAAAAGUAAGUGGCUAAGAUUGUGAGACUACACGGAGUUCCGACAAGUAUUGUGUCUGAUCGGAAUCCAAAUUUUACUUCGCACUUUGGGGGAGCUCUUCAUGAUGCGUUAGGAACCAAGCUGAGAUUGAGUUCGGCGUAUCAUCCACAAACUGAUGGGCAAACAGAGAAAACUAUUCAGUCGCUAGAGGAUCUACUACGUACUUGUGUGUUAGACAACAGAGGAAGCUGGGAUGAUCAUCUGCCAUUGAUUGAAUUUACAUACAACAAUAGUUUUCAUGCGAGCAUUGGGAUGGCACCGUAUGAGGCUUUGUAUGGUCGAAAGUGUAGGACCCCGUUGUGUUGGUAUCAAGAUGGAGAGAGUUUGUUGAUUGGGGCCAGAAUUGUUGCAACAGACGACUGAGAAGGUUAAGCAGAUCAGAGAAAAGAUGAGAGCUUCACUGUAAGACCCACUUUUAAUCAAUGUAUUAUGUCCUUUUUAUUAUGAAAAUAUUUGAAUUAUUAAUUAUUCUCAUUUAGGAUUUUAUCCCAUUUUAUUAAGAUUAUUCAAAAGUUAAUAGAUUUAUUUUCUAUUAGCUAAGUUUAUUUCAUUUAAAAUGGAAAUAUUCUUAUCUCCAUAUUCACAAUGAAAAUACUCUCAUUUAUAUUUUUCCACAUAUUUGGAAAGUUAUUUAUGUUAGUGGAAUUUUCCUAACACUUUCCAAUUAAUAGUUAAAUCGUUAUCAUAUUCAGAAAUUGGGAAAUAUUAUUGUGAAGAUCAAUUUGUGAAAGUUAUGGUCAUUUUAGGAUCAUCAUCAUUGAUUAUACUUAUGAUAAUUCUCUGGCAAUUUAUUUUUGGGUUUUGGAUUUUAAAUUGAUUAUUUCAAUAUUUACCGGUUUUUCAGUUUAUCGGUAAAAGAAAGGAAAAUAUUAUCGCGUUAAAUAUUUUUGAGAAAUCAUUUUUAAAACCUAACCAUAAUUACCUAUAUUAUUUUUAGGAUUUCUCUAGGGUAUUUUGGUUGAUUUAUGAUUUUUGGCUAAUUUUUAAUGAUUUUACCUUUGGUAAAUAGUUUAAAAUUAGAAAUAAAUGGUAAAUGGUAAAAGUAAAUUAUGGAAAAAUAAUUUUUAAACCCUAAUUAUUAUUCCUGAGUUCCCUGGGCCAGAUUAGGUCUUGAUUGAUUCGAGUUUGGCACCAUUUGAUCAUUAUUGAGUUUUAAAUCAAUUUAUUUCAUUUUCAUGGCAAACAUCUUACCCUACAUUCAUCAUCAAGUUUCUCUUUACUCACUAAGUGGAUUUGGCUGAUUCAAGGCUUUAAUUAACCCUUCCCACUUCCUCUAUCUGACCCAACAAGUUUCACAUUCAGAUCAUCUCCCAAUCUCUCUAACCAAUCUCACUAAGUUGCCUACUUGAUCUUCAAAUUUCAAGUUUUGGAGUUUUGAACUUUUCCAAAGUAAGUACCAUUUAUACUAAUCACUUGGACUUGAAACUUU